Molecule: non-coding RNA, 217 nt
Organism: Pelobates cultripes (western spadefoot toad)
Lineage: Eukaryota; Metazoa; Chordata; Amphibia; Anura; Pelobatidae
Source: the annotation of a GenBank genome assembly
UAUAUAUAUAUGUCCAUGUGUGUGUCUGUAGGUAUUUGUGUGUAUAUGUUUGUGUCAAUGUAUCAAAGUAUGUAUCUGCAUGUGUGUCAUGUGUGUGAACAUUUGUGUGCAUACUUGCCAAAACAUGUCCCAGGAAAUAUUAUUCCAUUGUUGGCAACUAUAUAACGGGGGAACAUAUGCAAAAUGUUCACUAAUACUUAACUGAACCUCUCUCUAU